Molecule: non-coding RNA, 23 nt
Filed under: Arabidopsis thaliana (thale cress)
Lineage: Eukaryota; Viridiplantae; Streptophyta; Magnoliopsida; Brassicales; Brassicaceae
Source: RNAcentral
UUUCAUGCAAUCCAGGUGUUAAG